Molecule: non-coding RNA, 135 nt
Organism: Triticum aestivum (bread wheat)
Lineage: Eukaryota; Viridiplantae; Streptophyta; Magnoliopsida; Poales; Poaceae
Source: Rfam
AUGCUACUCCCUCCGUCUGAAAAUACUUAUCAUCAAAAUGAAUAAAAAGAGAUGUAUCUAAAACUAAAAUACAUCUAGAUACAUCUUCUUUUAUCCGUUUUGAUGACAAGUAUUUCCGGACGGACUGAGUAAUUU